RNAcentral lists this transfer RNA (73 nucleotides) under Trichonephila clavata. It matches the Rfam family "tRNA". From Rfam's summary of the family: Transfer RNA (tRNA) molecules are approximately 80 nucleotides in length. Lineage: Eukaryota; Metazoa; Arthropoda; Arachnida; Araneae; Nephilidae. The record is from Rfam by way of RNAcentral.
GUCUCUGUAGCCCAAUGGAUGGCGCGUUGGACUUCUAAUCCAAAGGUCGUGUGUUCGAAUCCCACCUGGGAUG